CCGCAAGACCGAAACUCAAAGGAAUUGACGGGAGCCCGCACAAGUGGUGGGGCAUGUGGUUUAAUUCGAUACAACGCGCAAAACCUUACCAGUCCUUGACAUAUAAGAGAGAUUCUCCAUAAAAGAAAAUUUAUACCUUAUACAGGUGCUGCAUGGCUGUCGGCAGCUCGUGCCGUGAGGUGUCAGGUUAAGUCCUCAAACGAGCGCAACCCCUUGCGAAUGUUAAUAUACUUUCGUGACUGCCAAUGAUAUAUUGGAGGAAGGGAGGGAUCACGUCAAGUCCGCAUGGCCCUUAUGGACUGGGCUACACACGUGCCACAAUGGCGAUGACAAAAGGCAGCAAUGAUGAAAAUCGGAGCAAAUCCUCAAACAUCGUCUCAGUACGGAUUGUUCUCUGCAACUCGAGAACAUGAAGCUGGAAUCACUAGUAAUCGUAGAUCAGCACGCUACGGUGAAUAUGUACCCGGGCUUUGUACACACCGCCCGUCACACCUCGGGAGUUGAAGAGCCCCCAAGAUCGGGGAGAGAAUCAUUUUUUUUUAAUUCCAUUAAUAACAAAUUAAUUUGAGUAAAAACGAAUCAUUUAAUCCUCUUCCAAGGGAAAAUCAAUGACUGAGGUG
RNAcentral lists this ribosomal RNA (620 nucleotides) under uncultured picoeukaryote. RNAcentral describes it as "bacterial SSU rRNA". It matches the Rfam family "Bacterial small subunit ribosomal RNA", at positions 886 to 1482 of the family's 1533-position model. The record is from RNAcentral.